CCCUUAGAUGUUCUGGGCCGCACGCGUGCUACACUGAGUAAUUCAAUGGGUAAGGGAACGCUAGAGCAUUACCUAAUCUUGAAAUUUGCUCGUGAUGGGGAUCGACGGUUGCAAUUUUCCGUCGUGAACGAGGAAUACCUUGUAGGCGCAUGUCAUCAUCAUGCGCCGAAUACGUCCCUGCCCUUUGUACACACCGCCCGUCGCUCCUACCGAUUGAAUGCUCAGGUGAGCCAUUCGGACUUUCAUCAUGCUGGUUUCCAGUUUUGAUGAAGGAAAGUCUUGCGAACCUUAUCAUUUAGAGGAAGGAGAAGUCGUAACA
RNAcentral lists this ribosomal RNA (319 nucleotides) under uncultured eukaryote. Its description in RNAcentral is "partial 18S ribosomal RNA". It matches the Rfam family "Eukaryotic small subunit ribosomal RNA", at positions 1470 to 1796 of the family's 1831-position model. The record is from RNAcentral.